This is a long non-coding RNA of Labeo rohita (rohu), 881 nucleotides long. RefSeq lists it as uncharacterized. The record is from RefSeq and is a predicted model, not a curated record. The transcript is spliced from 2 exons. NCBI's taxonomy places the organism in Eukaryota, Metazoa, Chordata, Actinopteri, Cypriniformes, Cyprinidae.
AUACAAUAUUGCUCAGAGAAGACACUCACAUACAUUCACACUAAUGACUGUCUCUCUUUACUUUUACAGAUCCCUCUUCAUCAGGUGCUGGAUCAGGGUUAUGUGGUGCUGGUGUAAGUCUGGUGGUUUGGAUUGUAGCAGUUUUUUUGCUACAAGAAGUAUAAGCAACCAAGGCAAAGGUAUUCUAAUGCUGCGCCAACAACUGAGAGCAUGCUAUGAAACUGGCACCUAUACCAACAGCAGUAGUUUAUAGUCACUAUAACAGUAUACACAUUAACAGUGUUUGAAGUCAACCCAUGUGUGCUUUUGAGAUGUGAACCUAGUAAGUACGAAUUUCAUUUGUUUUGCCAUAAUUAGCACUAGAAUUGCCAGAGGUUGCUGUAUACCUAAAACCGCCAUGUGGGUAAAUUUUACCCACGUGCAAACAAGUGUUUUGAUAUGGCUAAAGAAGAUUUUAUUUCACUGUAUUAUGCCACUGUCUUGAUAAAGAAGUGUCUAGUGUCAUAAAAAAUGAUUGUCUAGUCAUCAACUUAUAUUUUAGCCCUGUUGUUUUAUGUUUUAUGCUGUUGCACUGUUGCAUUGCUUUUUUAUGCUUAAAUAUUUUUAAAUGAUUGACUUAAUGAAAACCUUGUAAGAAUAUAGACACCACAUUUUUUUUUAAAUGAAUCAGCUGUGAAUGUGUAAAAUUACUGUUGUAAAGUUGCAUGAAUAAUCCAAUGUUAAAUGUGACACUCUGUGCUUACACAAGUUACAGAUGAUCUUUCUGUCUGAACAUUUCAUUCAUUCAGCUUUUGCCUUUUUACAAUGAUCCUAACAUAAAAUGCAUCACAGCUUUCGUUGUGCAUAUGUUUAAUGAAAAUAAAAGGUUGUUUUGCCCAUAA